UACAGAGGUCCCAAGCGUUGUUCGGAUUCACUGGGCGUAAAGGGUGCGUAGGUGGCAGGGUAAGUUUGAUGUGAAAUCUCCGAGCUCAACUCGGAAACUGCAUUGAAUACUAUCCUGCUUGAGGAUUGGAGGGGAGACUGGAAUUCUCGGUGUAGCAGUGAAAUGCGUAGAUAUCGGGAGGAACACCUGUGGCGAAAGCGGCUCACUGGACAGCAACUGACGCUGAUGCGCGAAAGCUAGGGGAGCAAACAGG
This 253-nucleotide ribosomal RNA is filed under the name uncultured bacterium. Its description in RNAcentral is "partial 16S ribosomal RNA". It matches the Rfam family "Bacterial small subunit ribosomal RNA", at positions 524 to 776 of the family's 1533-position model. The record is from RNAcentral.